Molecule: ribosomal RNA, 449 nt
Filed under: uncultured bacterium
Lineage: Bacteria
Description: partial 16S ribosomal RNA
Rfam family: Bacterial small subunit ribosomal RNA
Source: RNAcentral
AGCGAACGCUGGCGGCAGGCUUAACACAUGCAAGUCGAACGCCAUCUUCGGAUGGAGUGGCAGACGGGUGAGUAACGCGUGGAAACAUACCUUUUGCUUCGGAAUAUUCCCGGGAAACUGGGAGCAAUACCGAAUACGCCCUGAGGGGGAAAGAUUGAUCGGCAAAAGAUUGGUCCGCGUUAGAUUAGGUAGUUGGUAGGGUAAUGGCCUACCAAGCCUACGAUCUAUAGCUGGUCUGAGAGGAUGAUCAGCCACAUUGGGACUGAGACACGGCCCAAACUCCUACGGGAGGCAGCAGUGGGGAAUAUUGGACAAUGGGCGAAAGCCUGAUCCAGCCAUGCCGCGUGAAUGAUGAAGGCCUUAGGGUUGUAAAAUUCUUUCACCGGGGACGAUAAUGACGGUACCCGGAGAAGAAGCCCCGGCUAACUUCGUGCCAGCCGCCGCAGUAG